UACAGAGGGUGCGAGCGUUCCUCGGAAUUACUGGGCGUAAAGCGUGCGUAGACGGUUAUUUAAGUCGGGUGUGAAAGCCCCGGGCUCAACCUGGGAAUUGCACUCGAGACUGAAUAGCUAGGGUACGGUAGAGGGAAGCGGAAUUUCCGGUGUAGCGGUGAAAUGCGCAGAUAUCAGGAGGAACACCAAUGGCGAAGGCAGCACUCUGGGACGUGACUGACGCUGAGACGCGAAAGCGUGGGGAGCAAACAGG
This 253-nucleotide ribosomal RNA is filed under the name uncultured bacterium. RNAcentral's name for it is "partial 16S ribosomal RNA". It matches the Rfam family "Bacterial small subunit ribosomal RNA", at positions 524 to 776 of the family's 1533-position model. The record is from RNAcentral.